GUUGAACUUUUUUAAAGCUCAGAAGUUUUGAAUGAAGAAAUCAGUUAUUUGUUUGAGUAUAUUACUUUCUAUAAUGCUUGCAGUUUCUGAAGCUCAAAAAGGAAUCUUCUGGGAUAAAGGACCUGAUGAACAAAAAAAGAUAAAAAAGAAAAUCGACUAUUAUAAAAGCACAAAACAACUAAAUGUAAUUGUUAAUGAGGCUGUCGAUGAAGCCUUUGAAGAAAUCAUGGUGCAGAAAAUGACGUAGUAUUGUUGAACAUGAACGUUUUUUGAAAAUUCCAAUGGUUCCUGAAAAAGCAGUUCACUAGAUUUCUCCGCACGGAGUGUGUUAUAUCUUCAGCAAAUCAAGUUGAAACAUCUUCAUAAGUUUUAAAAUCAAGUUUUAAAAAGUUACAUAACAAAUAUAUUCAUUAAUUUUAUU
This is a long non-coding RNA of Hydra vulgaris (swiftwater hydra), 421 nucleotides long. RefSeq lists it as uncharacterized. The record is from RefSeq and is a predicted model, not a curated record. NCBI's taxonomy places the organism in Eukaryota, Metazoa, Cnidaria, Hydrozoa, Anthoathecata, Hydridae.